GGGAGGUUCAGCAAAGUGGGUACACUUGAAUGAAGGGGGAUCCUUUUAGUUAUUUUACAGAAAUCUCUGAUCAUUACAUAAUGAUUUAACAAAACUACCCUUCAAGAAACUAACAAGGAUCUGAUCAACUUGUUGAUUGAAGAAUUUAACACAGUAAAGGAUAUAUAUAUUGUAUACAUACAUAAUGACCCAAGGACAAUAUUAAUGAUAAAUCAUACUUUACAAUCAG
Molecule: long non-coding RNA, 229 nt
Filed under: Mytilus galloprovincialis (Mediterranean mussel)
Lineage: Eukaryota; Metazoa; Mollusca; Bivalvia; Mytilida; Mytilidae
Source: RNAcentral